RNAcentral lists this long non-coding RNA (3276 nucleotides) under Triticum aestivum (bread wheat). RNAcentral's name for it is "long non-coding RNA (TAES_LNC014890)". The record is from RNAcentral. Lineage: Eukaryota; Viridiplantae; Streptophyta; Magnoliopsida; Poales; Poaceae.
CCUCAGAUCUGUGCCACCCUGUUCGUUUGAAGAAGGAUCUGGCCGUUGAUUGCUGGUGCUUCCCCUCGCCCGACGGUGGGUGUUCUUCUCACUCUCCUCGCCCUCUCCACCCCUCCCCAGUCGGGGCUUCUUUUAGUUGAUUUGUUUGCUUUUCCCUUUUCCGUUCAGAUCUGCCAUGACUUGGGAUAGUACUUCUGUCCAGCAAGCAGCGCUUUGGCUGGGAGCUCAAGCUCAAGCAGAACGUCAAAAACAUGGGCUCUAUCUGCUAAUGGGGUAGCCGGCAAUGCAGUCUAAGGGCUGGCUACUGCUCAUCUGAUUUCUGGAUAUGAGAGGAUGAGAACUUGAGAAGAACAAGCUUGAUGCUAUGAUUGCAAAAAAAUCUGUACUACAGGUAUUCCUUUCAGUACUGUUGCAGCAAUCCUUAAUUAGCUACUAUUUUAUGAACUGAAUGUGAUUGAUUUGUGAACUUUAGAGCUUGUAAGUUGUAAUUUGUGAUUUCAUAGGAUGCUUGAAGGUCAAUAGAAGGGUAUUAUUCCUAUGAAAAUUCAUUACUUUCUAUAUAUAUAUAUAAAUUUAUCCACAUAUAUGUGCUUUGAUACGAGGGACAAACCUGAGAACUAGCUUCAGAUUCCACAAAAAAGUCCAAAUAAUCAUACUAAUGUUUCAGAUUUUUAGUUAAGCAUUGUAGAAUUCUGGCAAACAGAGGAGUAUAUUAAAUCUUCAUCCUCUGAACUAGGUGAGAGUUAAGACACACCAUACACAGGCUCUGUAAGAUGGCGGAAAUAUUCCUCUUCGUCAACGACUUCUACGAGGACGAUAUUGACCUAGAGGCUGGAGCUUUGCUACUCCUUCCGGCCAACAACAAGGCAUCGUUUACUUUUUCUCUCCCCACAUCCAAUACUUCCCUGUUCCUGUCCCUACCGCUUAUUUCUUGCUAUAGGGCAACACACUACAAGUGUUUGAUAAACUGUUAGUCUCAAUGCUCCAAUUCUGGCAGAAGGAUUUUCGGUAGGAAGACAUAGCACCAAUCAAGGAUUUUCGGUAGGAAGACAUAGCAUCACUCAUGGUUAUAUAUAUUUACUAUUGUAUUUCUGUAUUUUUGCAAAAUUAGUUCUGUGAAGCUUCUAGAUUAUUUUAGUUCUUCAGUGGUUUUACCCUUAGGCUUAGCUUGUAUUAACUUACAACUUUUUUCUCCAUAAUUUUGCAACAAUAGUUCUAUAGUACUUAAUACAGUUUUUCUAGAAUCAUGAUAAAAUACAUAUAUAUCUAGCCGUUUGUAUUUCGACGGUCAUGUUUCUAAAGAUUUUAAAGUUUUAUUUUCACUAUAAAUUUGCUUUAGUUGUUCUGUAACUUCCAGCAUAGUUCAGUUAAGGGGUUCUAGUCUUAGGCUUGUAUAAACUUACAACAUCUUUCAUUUGCAAUGACAAUGGUUUCACAACUGUAGACAGUUCAUCUUUAUAAGGCCAUUGUAUCCAUGAAGAAAUUUGUUACUUAUUUCUGAAUACAUCUCGUACUGUUUAUCGCAUUUUAAGAUAUGGCAUGAAGCUAGCUAAGGGCUUUUAUUAUUUCUAGCAGCAUGUGAUUCACUGAACAAAAAAAGGACUGCACUCACAUAUGAAAUGCUUGCAAGUUAUAGAAAAAUGAAGCAAAGGACCAACGGUGUAGGUAAGGGCUUUAAUUUGUUAGUACUCCAUUUGCUAUGCAUCAAGAUUCAAUCAAGUAGGAUUCCCCGUGUAUUUGCAGUUUUUACAUAGUGUUUUGCAUGUGAAUUGUGGUCACUACUAUCAAUUCAUGGAAAUUUAAAUGUAUAGUGAUGGAUGAAACGAAUGGAACCUAUAUCCUGGGUUCCCAGUACUAUACUGUUGCUUCAAAAACACUUGUAUGUACAGAUAGUUUCUCUUGGAUAUCAUAAGUAAACGUUCUUGAGAUAAAUUUCGCUCAGUUUUUUAGUGGGGAAGGAAAGCUUCAUGAUAUUCCAUUUAAAGCGCUGAUAUCUAUUUGAAAAUUAAUUUAAGUGCAUACCUCCUCGAUCCUAACAGUAUUUGUGUACUGUAUAGGAGAAAUCUUCUCAGUUUCUGAAUCCUGAGCAGUAGCAAGUCAGGUGCUUAAUGGUGAUCCUACCACGCAUAUGUCAUAAGCAGGUUAGUUCUAAAAAGGUCAUUGUUAAUUCGCCCGCGUCUGUCCCGCAAUUGCCACAACUUAGUGCAGUGAGAUCAGACGAUGGUCGUCAAUUUAAUCUAAUUUGUGGCACUGAAGUACAGAUGCUUUUAUGAAUAUAAUAGUCAGGUGCAGUGUAAGUUCAGAUGCUUUUUGUUUGGUAUUUUGCAAGUCCUCAUGUGCUUAGUACUGCAUUUAGAAAUGAUUAAGAAUAGAUUCUUAUCCUUGAGAUUCGUUUCUAACAUUGGGAAAGUAUGUCUAACCUCCUGAUGUACGUGUGUUUUUGAGAAUGCUUUUCCCAGGGCAUGCUGCACUCGUCAUUGAAACUCCUAGCUGUGUAUUAGAUAGUAAUCAUUUUGCCUAAUGCAUUGCCAUCUAGGGCAGCAAAGUGCGGUCUUUUCCACCCCAGAGAAGAAAAAGAAAGAAAACUAGUGUAGUUUUUUCUUCAAAAAUGACUUUCGUGUGUCCGUUGGUGGAUGUGUUUCUCCCAAUAAUUGGGUCUGGACAUGUUAAAUUGUUGCCCUAUGGCCAGAUGAUGCAUAUGCUCCUUUUCCAUUUAAUAUACUUCCUAGUCUGCGGCUUGAGGAGAUUGAUGCAUGCUAUAUGGUGGGUCGGUGUGGCAUUGAUGCUUUAUUAUGUCUAACACAUCACAAAUUCUAAUUAGAACAUGCCCUGUUUUUAUAAUACUAAAAUCCCAGUUUGUUUUUGCCAUUGAUGCUUUAUACAAUUAUUAUUUUUGCCAUUAUCUCCAUGAAUGCAAGAAUUCACCAGUGACCCUUUUAUCCUUUGUAGGAAUGACAUGCAAGAGAACCAGGAAGGAACCAUGAAGAUGGCAGUUUGCAUCAGCUAGACAUUUUGUGUAAUGGAGCAAAUACAAUGUGUCUUUUAGUUAUCGUUUUGUAAACCUAUAUGGUGUCUUGUCAACUGGGUAUUUUGUGUAAAGGAGCAAACAAUGAAUCGUCAGACAUGCAUCUAUCAUUUUGUAAACCAAUCAGGUGUCUUGGUGAUUGAAACAUAAAUGUUUCCUCCUUUCAAUUAGUUACUUUUACCUAUAAGAACAUUCUUCUUUGGUUGUGGUUUAAUAUUUUCAGAGUUCAUGCAAGUUUCCAUUGCAAUGAG